Molecule: unclassified non-coding RNA, 286 nt
Filed under: uncultured fungus
Lineage: Eukaryota; Fungi
Also listed under: 1 other name
Description: partial contains 5.8S ribosomal RNA, internal transcribed spacer 2, and large subunit ribosomal RNA
Rfam family: 5.8S ribosomal RNA (bases 1-52)
Source: RNAcentral
AACGCACAUUGCACCCUGUGGUAUUCCACAGGGUAUGCCUGUUUGAGCGUCAUUUCUCUCUCAAAACAUUAGUUUUGGUAUUGAGUGAUACUCGGGUUUUAGGCUUGAGUUUGCUUGAAAAGUAUUGGCAAGGGAAGUAUUUCUUGUGAAAGCUAUUUAUUCAAUGUAUUAGGUUUAUCCAACUCGUUGAUUGAUAGACGGAACUCGUUUUGCUAUUAGGCCCGGCCUUACAACAAACAAACCAAAGUUUGACCUCAAAUCAGGUAGGAUUACCCGCUGAACUUAA